GGCCCAUUCGUCUAGUGGCUAGGACGGGGCGUUCUCAGCGCCUAAACAGGAGUUCGAUUCUCCUAUGGGCUACCA
RNAcentral lists this transfer RNA (75 nucleotides) under bacterium. RNAcentral's name for it is "tRNA-Glu". It matches the Rfam family "tRNA". Rfam says of the family: Transfer RNA (tRNA) molecules are approximately 80 nucleotides in length. Their secondary structure includes four short double-helical elements and three loops (D, anti-codon, and T loops). The record is from RNAcentral.